CUCGUAGGCGGCCAACUAAGUCAGACGUGAAAUCCCCAGGCUCAACCUGGGAACUGCGUCUGAUACUGGAUGGCUUGAAUUCGGGAGAGGGAUGCAGAAUUCCAGGUGUAGCGGUGAAAUGCGUAGAUAUCUGGAGGAAUACCGGUGGCGAAGGUGGCAUCCUGGACCGACAUUGACGCUGAGGAGCGAAAGCGUAGGGGAGACGAAACG
RNAcentral lists this ribosomal RNA (210 nucleotides) under uncultured bacterium. RNAcentral's name for it is "partial 16S ribosomal RNA". It matches the Rfam family "Bacterial small subunit ribosomal RNA", at positions 568 to 775 of the family's 1533-position model. The record is from RNAcentral.